Molecule: ribosomal RNA, 587 nt
Filed under: uncultured bacterium
Lineage: Bacteria
Description: partial 16S ribosomal RNA
Rfam family: Bacterial small subunit ribosomal RNA
Source: RNAcentral
UGGGGAAUUUUGGACAAUGGGCGAAAGCCUGAUCCAGCAAUGCCGCGUGUGUGAAGAAGGCCUUCGGGUUGUAAAGCACUUUUGUCCGGAAAGAAAUCCUUGGCUCUAAUACAGUCGGGGGAUGACGGUACCGGAAGAAUAAGCACCGGCUAACUACGUGCCAGCAGCCGCGGUAAUACGUAGGGUGCAAGCGUUAAUCGGAAUUACUGGGCGUAAAGCGUGCGCAGGCGGUUUGCUAAGACCGAUGUGAAAUCCCCGGGCUCAACCUGGGAACUGCAUUGGUGACUGGCAGGCUAGAGUAUGGCAGAGGGGGGUUAGAAUUCCACGUGUAGCAGUGAAAUGCGUAGAGAUGUGGAGGAAUACCGAUGGCGAAGGCAGCCCCCUGGGCCAAUACUGACGCUCAUGCACGAAAGCGUGGGGAGCAAACAGGAUUAGAUACCCUGGUAGUCCACGCCCUAAAACGAUGUCAACUAGUUGUUGGGGAUUCAUUUCCUUAGUAACGUAGCUAACGCGUGAAGUUGACCGCCUGGGGAGUACGGUCGCAAGAUUAAAACUUAAAGGAAUUGACGGGGUCAUAGCUGUUUCCU